Long non-coding RNA from Micropterus dolomieu (smallmouth bass), 5729 nucleotides. RefSeq lists it as uncharacterized. NCBI's taxonomy places the organism in Eukaryota, Metazoa, Chordata, Actinopteri, Centrarchiformes, Centrarchidae. The transcript is spliced from 2 exons. The record is from RefSeq and is a predicted model, not a curated record.
GUCAUUAAUCAGCUCCACCAAUCAAAGAGACGGAACACUAGUCAUCAGUCAGCUCCACCAAUCAGAAAAAACGGAAUACUAGUCAUCAGUCAGCUCCACCAAUCAGAACAGACGGAUCACUAGUCAAUCAGCUACAUCAGUCAGAAGUGACGGAACACUAAUCAUCAGUUGGCUCCUUUGAUCAGAAGUGACGGAACACUAGUCACGAGUCAGCUCCUUUGAUCAGAAGUGAAGGAACACUAGUCAUGAGUCAGCUCCACCUAUCAAAGUUUUGGAACACUAGUCAUCAGUUAGCUCACCUGAUCAGAACAGACAGAAAAGUAGUCAUAAGUCAGCUCCACCAAUCAGAAGUGACGGAACACUAAUCAUCAGUCAGCUCCACCAAUCAAGGAGAUGGAACACUAGUCAGGAGUCAGCUACCCCGAUCAGAAGUGAUGGAAUACUAGUCAUCAGUUGGCUCCUUUGAUCAAAAGUGACGGAACACUAGUCAUGAGUCAGCUCCACCAAUCAAAGAGACGGAACACUAGUUAGGAGUCGGCUCCUUUGAUCAGAAGUGACGGAACACUAGUCAUGAGUGAGCUCCACCAAUCAAAGAGAUGGAAGACUAGUCAUGAGUAAGCUCCACAAAUCAAAGAGAUGGAACACUAGUCAUGAGUCGGCUCCUUCGAUCAGAAGUGACGGAACACUAGUCAUGAGUCAGCUCCACCAAUUAGAAGUGACGGAACACUAGUCAUCAGUCAGCUCCACCAAUCAGAACAGACGGAACACUAGUCAUUAGUCAGCUCCACCAAUUAGAAGUGACGGAACACUAGUCAUCAGUAAGCUCCACCAAUCAGAACAGACGGAAUACUAGUCAUUAAUCAGCUACAUCAGUCAGAAGUGACGGAACACUAGUCAUCAGUUGGCUCCAUUGAUCAGAAGUGACGGAACACUAGUCAUCAGUUGGCUCCUUUGAUCAGAAGUGACGGAACACUAGUCAUGAGUGAGCUCCACCAAUCAAAGAGAUGGUACAGGAGUCAAGAGUCAGCUCCACCAAUCAAAGAGAUGGAACACUAGUCAUGAGACAGCUCCACCAAUCAGAAGUGAUGGAACAUUAGUCAUGAGUGAGCUCUACCAAUCAAAGAGAUGGAACACUAGUCAUGAGUCGGCUCCUUUGAUCAGAACAGACGGAACACAAGUCAUGAGUCAGCUCCACCAAUCAGAACAGAUCAAACACUAGUCAUCAGUCAUUUACACCAAUCAAAGAAAUGGAACACUAGUCAUCAGUCAGCCCCCCUGAUCAGAAGUGACGGAACACUAGUCAUUAGUCAGCUACACCAAUCAGAAGUGACGGAACACUAGUCAUUAAUCAGCUCCACCAAUCAAAGAGACGGAACACUAGUCAUCAGUCAGCUCCACCAAUCAGAACAGAUGGAACACUAGUCAUGAUUAAUUUCCACAAAUCAAAUAGAUGGAACACUAGUCAUCAGUUAGCUCCUUGAUCAGAUGUGAUGGAACACUAGUCAUUAGUCAGCUCCACCAAUCAAAGAGACGGAACACUAGUCAUCAGUUAGCUCCCCUGAUCAGAACAAACGGAACAGAAGUCAUAAGUCAGCUCCACCAAUCAGAACAGAUCGAACACUAGUCAUCAGUCAUUUCCACCAAUCAAAGACAUGGAACACUAGUCAUCAGUCAGCUACAUCAGUCAGAAGUGACGGAACACUAGUCAUCAGUUGGCUCCUUUGAUCAGAAGUGACGGAACACUAGUCAUCAGUCAGCUCCACCAAUCAAAGAGACGGAAAUCUAGUCAUGAGUCAGCUCCACCAAUCAAAGAGACGGAAAUCUAGUCAUGAGUCAGCUCCACCAAUCAAAGAGACGGAACACUAGUCAUCAGUCAGCUCCAUCAAUCAGAACAGACGGAAUACUAGUCAUUAAUAUGCUCCACCAAUCAGAACAGAUCAAACACUAGUCAUCAGUCAUUUCCACCAAUCAAAGAGAUGGAACACUAGUCAUCAGUCAGCCCCCCUGAUCAGAAGUGACGGAACACUAGUCAUCAGUCAUUUCCACCAAUCAAAGAGAUGGAACACUAGUCAUCAGUCAGCCACCCUGAUCAGAACAGACGGAACAGUAGUCAUCAGUGAUAUCCACCAAUGAGAACAGACGGAAUACUAGUCAUCAGUCAGCUCCACCAAUCAGAACAGACGGAACACUAGUCAUUAAUCAGCUAAAUCAGUCAGAAGUGACGGAACACUAGUCAUCACUUGGCUCCUUUGAUCAGAAGUGACGGAACACUAGUCAUAAGUCAGCUCCACCAAUCAGAAAAGACGGAACACUAGUGAUGAGUCAGUUCCCCUGAUCAGAACAGACGGAACAGUAGUCAUAAGUCAGCUCGACCAAUUAGAAGUGACGGAACACUAGUCAUCAGUCAGCUACACUAAUCAAAGAGAUGGAACACUAGUCAUGAGUCAGCUCUACCAAUCAGAAGUGAUGGAACAUUAGUCAUGAGUGAGCUCCACCAAUCAAAGAGGUGGAAGACUAGUCAUGAGUAAGCUCCACAAAUCAAAGAGAUGGAACACUAGUUAGGGGUCGGCUCCUUUGAUCAGAAUUGACGGAACACUAGUCAUCAGUCAGCUCCACCAAUCAAAGAGACGGAACACUAGUCAUCAGUCAGCUCCACCAAUCAGAAUAGAUGGAACACUAGUCAUGAGUAAUUUCCACAAAUCAAAUAGAUGGAACACUAGUCAUCAGUUAGCUCCCUGAUCAGAAGUGAUGGAACACUAGUCAUGAGUCAGCUCCACCAAUCAAAGAGACGGAACACUAGUCAUCAGUCAGCUCCACCAAUCAGAAUAGAUGGAACACUAGUCAUGAGUAAUUUCCACAAAUCAAAUAGAUGGAACACUAGUCAUCAGUUAGCUCCCUGAUCAGAAGUGAUGGAACACUAGUCAUUAGUCAGCUCCACCAAUCAAAGAGACGGAACACUAGUCAUCAGUUAGCUCCCCUGAUCAGAACAGACGGAACAGUAGUCAUAAGUCAGCUCCACCAAUCAGAACAGAUAGAAAAUUAGUCAUCAGACAUUUCCACCAAUCAAAGAGAUGGAACACUAGUCAUCAGUCAGCUCCCCCGAUCAGAAGUGAUGGAACACUAGUCAUGAGUCAGCUCCACCAAUCAAAGAGAUGGAACACUAGUUAGGAGUCGGCUCCUUUGAUCAGAAGUGACAGAACACUAGUCAUGAGUCAGCUCCACCAAUCAUUCGGCUCCUUUGAUCAGAAGUGACGGAACACUAGUCAUGAGUCAGCUCCACUAAUUAGAAGUGACGGAACACUAGUCAUCAGUCAGCUCCACCAAUCAGAACAGACGGAAUACUAGUCAUUAAUAUGCUCCACCAAUCAGAACAGAUCAAACACUAGUCAUCAGUCAUUUCCACCAAUCAAAGAGAUGGAACACUAGUCAUCAGUCAGCCACCCUGAUCAGAACAGACGGAACAGUAGUCAUCAGUGAGCUCCACCAAUGAGAACAGACGGAAUACUAGUCAUCAGUCAGCUCCACCAAUCAGAACAGACGGAACACUAGUGAUGAGUCAGCUACACUAAUCAAAGAGAUGGAACACUAGUCAUGAGUCAGCUCCACCAAUCAGAAGUGAUGGAACAUUAGUCAUGAGUGAGCUCCACCAAUCAAAGAGGUGGAAGACUAGUCAUGAGUCAGCUCCACAAAUCAAAGAGAUGGAACACUAGUUAGGGGUCGGCUCCUUUGAUCAGAAUUGACGGAACACUAGUCAUCAGUCAGCUCCACCAAUCAAAGAGACGGAACACUAGUCAUCAGUCAGCUCCACCAAUCAGAAUAGAUGGAACACUAGUCAUGAGUAAUUUCCACAAAUCAAAUAGAUGGAACACUAGUCAUCAGUUAGCUCCCUGAUCAGAAGUGAUGGAACACUAGUCAUCAGUCAUUUCCACCAAUCAAAGAGAUGGAACACUAGUCAUCAGUCAGCUCCCCCGAUCAGAAGUGAUGGAACACUAGUCAUGAGUCAGCUCCACCAAUCAAAGAGACGGAACACUAGUCAUCAGUCAGCUCCCCCGAUCAGAAGUGAUGGAACACUAGUCAUGAGUCAGCUCCACCAAUCAAAGAGACGGAACACUAGUCAUCAGUCAGCUCCACCAAUCAGAAUAGAUGGAACACUAGUCAUGAGUAAUUUCCACACAAUCAUCAUUCGGCUCCUUUGAUCACAAGUGUCGGAACACUAGUCAUGAGUCAGCUCCACCAAUCAAAGAGACGGAACACUAGUCAUCAGUUAGCUCCCUGAUCAGAAGUGAUGGAACACUAGUCAUUAGUCAGCUACACCAAUCAGAAGUGAUGGAACAUUAGUCAUUAGUCAGCUCCACCAAUCAAAGAGAUGGAACACUAGUCAUGAGUCGGCUCCUUUGAUCAGAAGUGACGGAACACUAGUCAUCAGUUAGCUCCACCAGUCAGAAGCAAUGGAACGCUAGUCAUGAGUCGGCUCCUUUGAUCAGAAGUGACGGAACACUAGUCAUCAGUUAGCUCCACCAGUCAGAAGCAAUGGAACGCUAGUCAUGAGUAAGCUCCACCAAUCAGUCGGCUCCUUUGAUCAGAAGUGACGGAACACUAGUCAUCAGUCAGCUCCACCAAUCAGAACAGAUGGAACACUAGUCAAUCAGCUACAUCAGUCAGAAGUGACGGAACACUAGUCAUCAGUUGGCUCCUUUGAUCAGAAGUGACGGAACCCUAGUCAUGAGUCAGUUCCACCAAUAAGAGGAGAUGCAACACUAGUCAUGAGUCAUCUCAAUUCUCAUCACAGCUACCAGGAUAUUAUAGUUUCAGACUAUUUACAGGAAGUUCGGUGGUUCCUGAGUAAACCAGAAACAAACGAAUGCAUGGAGAAAUGCAUUGAAAAAAGGACACAAUUGGCUUCUCCUCAAACGGAGGUGCAGAAGGAUUGCUUGCAGUCUUCUCCCCAUUUCCUGCCGGUGUUAUGCCGAAACACUGCUGACGAUAUAGGCCUAAUGUUCGCACAAUGAGAACUUUAUUUGGCGAUUUUGAACUAACUUGUCUCAAAGCGUUGGUAAUUGACAUACUGAGAUGAGAAUGUGUUGCGAGUUAAGUUGGUGCUGCAGAUAGUAGGCUAAUGCCGUAAUAAUAACAAUAUAGUGGCAACAAUAUGUAUAUAUAGAAUAUGUAAAUUCCUCAUUCACUCAUUCUGGUCAAAGCUCCCCGUGGAACUGUUCAACCAAUCCAUGUCAAGUAGGUACAGGGAGACACAGCCCACAUGGAUGAUGACACAAGUCCUGUCAUGUAAAGUCCUUUAGUGCGCUGCAUAGGUAACUGGAGUGUGACACCAAACCAAAACUAACCGAAUGUAUCAAAAACUCUGGUUCGGGCCUUGGUGCGUACUUCCAGGUGUGAAAGCCCCCUUAGUGGCAUGAGGUUUCUUUAGGUAUAUUCAUUAAGAAAUUAUAUUUACUUUAUUAUUCAAUAAAAACAUAUGUUAUUGUGACUUGGCCACUGACAGACAACAUGGAAAAUGUAAGCCAAGAAUGUGAAACACUGUCACUGUUUCUGCACCACUGCCCACCAACAAUAAUAUCUGGCCAGCUGUCAGAUUAUGGUGUUUUGAUAGCAGUGCUGAAAUCAUGUCACGACAGCAACAGUUACUCAUAAUCACUUCUUCUUAAGUGCUUUUGCCUACAAAAUAAAAGCACAAUAAGCUUAUUUACUGCAAUGCAGUAUACUGAGUUGAA